This is a non-coding RNA of Nicotiana tabacum (common tobacco), 2739 nucleotides long. NCBI's taxonomy places the organism in Eukaryota, Viridiplantae, Streptophyta, Magnoliopsida, Solanales, Solanaceae. The record is from RefSeq and is a predicted model, not a curated record.
UUAAUGUCUUUUUAAAAAAGCUUGAGGAUAAUUAGUCAUUUAGAAAAUUUCUAUACGUGCCUUUUUCCCCUUCCACAAAUACUACGUGUAGCCUUUUGGUUUCUGUCUCAGCCACCACAUCUUUUUUCCAUCUUCAGUCCCAAUAUCUUCUCCAUCGUAUUAUCGUAUUUUCCAUGGAUUUCAGAGCAUUGUUAUUUGCUCCAUCAAGAUAAUCUCUUCUGUUUCUUUUCCUUCAAUUGUUGUUGGGUUUGGAUUGUUUCCUCCAGGAUCCAGCUAAAUUAAUUUAAUUUAGCAGUUUAAACUCGAUUUAUUUUUGCAAUUUGUAUAAUCCAGGCCCUUAAAAUUUCUCUAUUCCAAUUUUGCUCUGCAAUUUUUGUUGCAAUGUUUGGGGUAUUUCAAAUUUGCAUGUGCUUGUUAAUCGAUCUCUGUCCUUCAGAUUUUGACUGUAAACUUCAUGUAUGCCGGGAGAUGAAGAUGAGAAGUAAUACUUGGAACAAAAAAAAAAGGUAAAAAUUGCUACUCCUUAUAGAUAGCUAUUUUGCAUAUGAAUUAUUUCCAGUAAUAUUUGAUUGAAUAGUUUAGUUACAUGAAAAUUUUAGUUUUAUCGUGCUGCUUCUUGAAUUUAUUGUUAAAAGAGAAAAAACAGAAGUUUGCCAGCACAACUGAAGUCUGAGUAGUAUUUGCAGUUUGUUAAAGUAUCUGUUAUUUUUAUUUUACUAUCUUAAAAAUAUACGCGCUCUAGGGACACCAAUAACUAUAUAGAUUCAAAAUUGAUGCAAAAAGGGGAAGUUCUCUACCUAAGUAUAUCAAGUGUAAUUAUAUUUUAGGGUUAUGACUUUUAUCCCAAUUGAAUGUACCUAUUGUAUCCUAAUGUGUAUCUGUUUACCUUAUUGUUCAACCUACCUGGGCUAAUAUUUGUUGAAUUUACAACGGAAAUAUAGUAAGUGACAAUUUUGUUAAUGUCUGAAAGUGAAGUUUUUGUAGCGACAAUGCUUGGUGAACAUGUUGAUGAGAUUUGAAUUGUUGGGAGUAUCUUCCAUAACUAUGUACCAGCAUAAAUUUCAACAGUUUCUACCCUUCACCAGCCCUACAAUAUUGAUAAAUGAUCAUUGAAGGAACAAAGAAAAUGAUUCAAAAAGAUCUUUAUGUCUUAGGAAGGACAUUGUUCUGUACUUCGUUAGUCUAUUGUCAUAUGCUUAUUCAUAACGCUAAAUAGUUAUGCUUUAUAAUUCGUGUUAUUGUGUUAAUAUGUCUCUACUUUAGUAAUAAAUUUAUAUGCUUACAAAUAAAAGAAAGAUGGACAACGCCUAAAUUGAGCAGAUUAGGAACGUUCAUAUCUUGGUGAAAAGAAUAGUGAGAAAUACCAAAGACAGCGUAUAUCACAUGGAGAGAAAUGGUACAUAAUUCAUUUUCCAUAAGACUCUUAAACGUCGUGAGAUUUGACGCUGCAGAAUAAUAUUCAUUAACUUCUAGCACAAGCAAAUAUUUUUAUCUCAGCUAUCAUGGUUCCUUACUUCGACAGGGUACAAAUAUUUAAAUUUGAUAUUUUUAGAUACUUUCUACUGGUGCAACACCAAGUGCAGUUCCUGUACAGAAGACUUCAUUUGCACUAAUUACAUGUAAGACUAUAAAGCAAGUCAAAUAAAUUCAAACACAAAUUAUAACUCAAUGUAUUUUCUAUACCCAAUAAUUAUCCAUCAUAUUUUGUUAAAAUAUAUGGAAUUAAGACAAUAGUUUAGGUGAAUAGACGGUAAAGUAUGCUACAAUCAAGAAUUUAAAGAGAAUUUUCAAAAAAUAUUUCUUUUAAUAAUUGUGAUGUGCGGAUGUGUUACUUUCUACUUUUUUCAUUCUGAUAAUUUGUAUUACAGCAUAAAGAAAUUAGACAAUUUAUGUACUUGAUGGGAUUGGAAAACUCAAUAGAAGUAGCUUCUUACUUUCUUUCAUGUGCACUUCUAUUCUAUUUUUUAUAUAUAUAGUUUCAAGAUCGUGCUUAUGCAAAGCCAUGAAAACUAUACAUUAAACAUUCAAUUUUUUAUUUGAACAUUACAUAUAUGAAUAGGGAUUAAGGCGUGUUUUAUACCAGCAUCACUAUUCGCUAUUACAAGUAAUUCAUUUAUCAAUAUUGAAUUUCAAUUGCAACAUUUCUGACAAAGGUACAAAAUGGUAUCAGAUGAUCAAACUAAGAUUGCAACAUCAAAAUAAAAAAAAAUAAAAAAGGUAAAAAACAUUGCAUAAAAUUUCAGCAUUUCUUAUAGACUUGGCAUCCUGCUCCUACUUAAGUACGUCUGGUAGUGCAACAGACUUGAAUUACAUGCAAGCAUGGGCCUGAAUCCAGUGGCCUUAGUGUAUUGGUCGAAAUCUGACCGUCUCGGCUGAGCUGACCAAUGUCCCGCCCAAGUGACAGGGCAGUAAAAGACGACAUGGCCCACUUUACACCUCAUUCUCGACACCCGUCGAGUCAGAAGGAGCAAUGUCCAAAGGACGACCAAGGCACACUUGGUGCGAGAGAGCGUUGGACCAAGUAAACGGCAAGGGUGCCUAGACUAUAUAUAGUAGGGAAAAACCCUCGAUAGGAGAGGCUCUCUUUCCCAUUCUCUCCCCUAAGUUCUCUUCUUGUAAUCUUCAUAGGAAAGAAGUAAUCUACAGAAAAAACAUGUAAAACUACCUCUUCCAUUGAUUGAUGGGAGCCACAAUGAAAAAUUUCAAUAAGAUCGAUUACAUCUACUUCAUCUUAUAUAC